This 465-nucleotide ribosomal RNA is filed under the name uncultured bacterium. Its description in RNAcentral is "bacterial SSU rRNA". It matches the Rfam family "Bacterial small subunit ribosomal RNA", at positions 32 to 507 of the family's 1533-position model. The record is from RNAcentral.
AAUCAACGCUGGCGGCGUGCCUCAGACAUGCAAGUCGAACGAUUAAAGCUCUCUUCGGAGAGUGUAUAGAGUGGCGCACGGGUGAGUAACACGUAAGUAAUCUACCCUCGAGUGGGGAAUAACAACCGGAAACGGUUGCUAAUACCGCAUAAUGCAGCGGCACCGCAAGGUGACAGUUGUUAAAGAUUUAUCGCUUGAGGAGAAGCUUGCGGCAGAUUAGCUAGUUGGUAGGGUAACGGCUUACCAAGGCUACGAUCUGUAACCGGUCUAAGAGGACGGUCGGUCACACUGACACUGAAUAACGGGUCAGACUCCUACGGGAGGCAGCAGUUGGGAAUUUUGGGCAAUGGGCGAAAGCCUGACCCAGCAACGCCGCGUGAAGGAUGAAGUAUUUCGGUAUGUAAACUUCGAAAGAAUAGGAAGAAUUAAUGACGGUACUAUUUAUAAGGUCCGGCUAACUACGUG